GGAGGAAGAACCAACAGGGAUUGCCCUAGUAACGGCGAGUGAAGCGGCAACAGCUCAAAUUUGAAAUCUGGCUCUUUUAGAGUCCGAGUUGUAAUUUGCAGAGGGCGCUUUGGCUUUGGCAGCGGUCCAAGUUCCUUGGAACAGGACGUCACAGAGGGUGAGAAUCCCGUACGUGGUCGCUGGCUAUUGCCGUGUAAAGCCCCUUCGACGAGUCGAGUUGUUUGGGAAUGCAGCUCUAAAUGGGAGGUACAUUUCUUCUAAAGCUAAAUAUUGGCCAGAGACCGAUAGCGCACAAGUAGAGUGAUCGAAAGAUGAAAAGCACUUUGGAAAGAGAGUCAAACAGCACGUGAAAUUGUUGAAAGGGAAGCGCUUGCAGCCAGACUUGCUUACAGUUGCUCAUCCGGGUUUCUACCCGGUGCACUCUUCUGUAGGCAGGCCAGCAUCAGUUUGGGCGGUAGGAUAAAGGUCUCUGUCACGUACCUCCUUUCGGGGAGGCCUUAUAGGGGAGACGACAUACUACCAGCCUGGACUGAGGUCCGCGCAUCUGCUAGGAUGCUGGCGUAAUGGCUGUAAGCGGCCCGUCUUGAAACACGGACCAAGGAGUCUAACAUCUAUGCGAGUGUUUGGGUGUCAAGCCCGAGCGCGUAAUGAAAGUGAACGGAGGUGGGAACCCGCAAGGGUGCACCAUCGACCGAUCCUGAUGUCUUCGGAAGGAUUUGAGUAAGAGCAUGGCUGUUGGGACCCGAAAGAUGGUGAACUAUGCUUGAAUAGGGUGAAGCCAGAGGAAACUCUGGUGGAGGCUCGCAGCGGUUCUGACGUGCAAAUCGAUCGUCAAAUUUGGGCAUAGGGGCGAAAGACUAAUCGAACUAUCUAGUAGCUGGUUCCUGCC
Molecule: ribosomal RNA, 889 nt
Filed under: Alternaria alternata
Lineage: Eukaryota; Fungi; Ascomycota; Dothideomycetes; Pleosporales; Pleosporaceae
Description: eukaryotic LSU rRNA
Rfam family: Eukaryotic large subunit ribosomal RNA
Source: RNAcentral